RNAcentral lists this non-coding RNA (23 nucleotides) under Cricetulus griseus (Chinese hamster). Lineage: Eukaryota; Metazoa; Chordata; Mammalia; Rodentia; Cricetidae. The record is from RNAcentral.
GGCACAGCAAGGGACUCCAGAGG